RNAcentral lists this ribosomal RNA (205 nucleotides) under uncultured bacterium. Its description in RNAcentral is "partial 16S ribosomal RNA". It matches the Rfam family "Bacterial small subunit ribosomal RNA", at positions 1298 to 1500 of the family's 1533-position model. The record is from RNAcentral.
UUGCAGGCUGCAACUCGCCUGCAUGAAGUCGGAAUCGCUAGUAAUCGCGGAUCAGCACGCCGCGGUGAAUACGUUCCCGGGCCUUGUACACACCGCCCGUCACACCAUGAGAGUCUGUAACACCCAAAGCCGGUGGGAUAACCUUUAUAGGAGUCAGCCGUCUAAGGUAGGACAGAUGAUUAGGGUGAAGUCGUAACAAGGUAUC